UGUUAGCCAGGAUGGUCUCCAUCUCCUGACCUCGUGAUCCUUGCAAAGGGACAUGCAGACCACAUUAGUGAGAAUAUGUGCCUGUAUUUUGCAAUCUGUAACAUGGGCAUAAACUAAAUGUUUUCCAAAGGGAAUAGGGCAAAACAAAAAGGACCUUGACCACUCCUUGGCCCUGAAUAAAUCCAGGAAGCCUAAGAGUAUGACUAUCCUGAGGUAGAAAGAGGGUCACAUGCUGGAUAAGAGGUACCUGGGCUCUCCACUUACAAGAAGAGAGCAUGGUUACAUUUAUAAUCACCAUUCCCAACAUGCUGUGAGUGCAGGCAGCUACCAGGAGGAGAACAAAGGAAAUAACCAGGACACUCAUCUCUAAACCUGUUAAUUUAAUCACACGGAACACUUCUAUUUAAAAUUCCCGAGAGUUAAGAUGUAAGAAUGCUUAUCAAGGUAAAUGCUGUUCACACUGCUUGGAGUGUCAGGCCUAGAUCUCUAUCCAUCAGAAACAACAAUAUCAAUAACAACAACAGCAACAUGAUGAUGGGGCAAUUUCUUAAAAGCACCGUGUAUUUUAUCGAUACAUGUCCGUUGCAGAAAAUCCAGGUGAAUCCAAAGAAGAAAUAAAUGUCUUCCACAAUCCCAUAGCCCAGAGCUAACUAACCACUAUAAAGAACCCAGCGUGGUUUUAACUAAUGGAUCAAAAGAUGCUCAUCAAAGGCUCUGAGCUUUCCUGAGUGCUAACAGGAAACAUCCAGCAUCACUGGUCUCUCCAAGGCUGCAGGUGUCUUUGCCCAUAGUGCCUGUUUUGUGUCAGGGAAAGAAUCAACCUGGGAGCCAAGCCCAGGAAUCAGGAUGACCAAGACAUACUGCACAAGGAGGGAACAAACCCAUCCAAGGACACUCAAGGACAAAUCAAGCAAAUGAAUUUAAGGGAGACAUGCUCAUGGUCUGCUUUGCUGCUCAGCAUGGCUGGGAGGCACAGUGGAAGAUCAUGCAUCCUGCCCCUGGGACUCCUCUGCCAGAGCCUGAGAGCUUUCUCCUGCCCACAGGCUAGGGGUAGGGCAGUUGGAAUUGAUCCAUGCCUUCUAGCUAGACUGUGGGUCCCCUCAGUCUUGGGCAUGGUGACAGCCCAGCAUCAGACAGACGUCAGUAUCAAACUAGAAAAUUUAAUAAAUACUGUCAGAUUUGUAGACCCAAGAAAAUAUAAACUGCCAAUCACGGAGGAAAAAAAAUCUCUCAAUGAUCUUAUCUUUAUAUGAUUCCCUUGCUGCCUGGAGAUUGACAUUUCCUUGGGGAUAAUCUGGUCAUAGGAUUGGUGAAGGUGGAAGGGAGGCAACCUCCAAAGGUGGGGCCCUCUGCUCACCUGGGACAGGGAGGGCCUGAGGUAGGUGUCUGUGUGGGCUGGGGAGGAGGAUGGGAGCAGUGCUUCUAGAUGUUUCCACUUUCUCCUCAUUAGAUAAUAACGAAUGGGUGAUUUCCCUAGUCACUGCAGUGUGAGGAAAUCUACAAAAUUAAUUUCACAAUACGCUUUACAGGAUAGGUGGAGAAACACAUGAAGCACAACUGCAGUGGGUUAUAAAAAACGGCCUUUCGAGUUGAGCAAUAAAUUCGUUCAAGCAGCCAUUCUGAAGGACAAACUGGCUCUGUAUUUAAGAGGGGCAUUCCAGCACUUCUCUAGCCACUGGGUUGACAAUGACUCACCAAAGCCUCUGGUAGCCACCACAGGACACCCAGAGCAUAUGUUUUAAAGCUGAACACCAAACUGCGGACUUCGGGAGGUCAUCAGCCUUCAAGCUUCAGUCUCUGUGUGUUCACAGGUGCUGUAAACACACGCAUCACUACUAAUAUCCCACUUCAGUGCUAUUGCUGCUCCCAAAACUCCAGCUGGCACACUUUUUCCAGUAGCCAUUCUACUUGGUAUGCUUACUUAUCAGCUGUCCUCCAGGGGCCUCACAUUAGAUGUUUCUCUGACUAACCAAACAUGACACACAGCUGAAGUCAGAAAAACCAGAUUGAUAAUUUCACUCAAACUAUUUUCCUUCAUUCUAACAAUUUA
This 2050-nucleotide long non-coding RNA is filed under the name Homo sapiens (human). RNAcentral's name for it is "HSALNT0387909". Lineage: Eukaryota; Metazoa; Chordata; Mammalia; Primates; Hominidae. The record is from RNAcentral.